Molecule: ribosomal RNA, 371 nt
Filed under: uncultured Lactobacillus sp.
Lineage: Bacteria; Bacillati; Bacillota; Bacilli; Lactobacillales; Lactobacillaceae
Description: bacterial SSU rRNA
Rfam family: Bacterial small subunit ribosomal RNA
Source: RNAcentral
GUAGGUGGCAAGCGUUAUCCGGAUUUAUUGGGCGUAAAGAGAGUGCAGGCGGUUUUCUAAGUCUGAUGUGAAAGCCUUCGGCUUAACCGGAGAAGUGCAUCGGAAACUGGAUAACUUGAGUGCAGAAGAGGGUAGUGGAACUCCAUGUGUAGCGGUGGAAUGCGUAGAUAUAUGGAAGAACACCAGUGGCGAAGGCGGCUACCUGGUCUGCAACUGACGCUGAGACUCGAAAGCAUGGGUAGCGAACAGGAUUAGAUACCCUGGUAGUCCAUGCCGUAAACGAUGAGUGCUAGGUGUUGGAGGGUUUCCGCCCUUCAGUGCCGGAGCUAACGCAUUAAGCACUCCGCCUGGGGAGUACGACCGCARGGUUG